AGUGUACUUUCUCCGUCCCAAAAUUCUUGUCUUAGAUUUAUCUAAAUACGGAUGUAUCAAGUCACGUUUUAGUAUUAGAUACAUCCGUAUUUAGACUAAUCUAAGACAAGCAUUUUGGGUCGGAGGGAGUAUUUG
This is a non-coding RNA of Triticum aestivum (bread wheat), 135 nucleotides long. NCBI's taxonomy places the organism in Eukaryota, Viridiplantae, Streptophyta, Magnoliopsida, Poales, Poaceae. The record is from Rfam.